Molecule: small RNA, 441 nt
Filed under: Drosophila mojavensis
Lineage: Eukaryota; Metazoa; Arthropoda; Insecta; Diptera; Drosophilidae
Description: GI25748
Source: RNAcentral
UUCAUUCGAUAUAUCGCAAGAGUAACUGAGUAAGUGACGAUGCACCCCUGGCAUUGUGCCUAUCGGAGUGCAUAAUCAAAACAAAAACAAAAAACAGCUGAUUGGGAAUUGCAUUACAUGCAAAUUUUAUGCUGCCAAUUGCUGCUAUUAUACGAAAUGCAGAGGAGCGCAGAUAUUGAAGAUAGCGAAAUUGCAUUAACUGCAAGCUGACUAGCAGCUGCUGCCAUAUAAAGUGCAGAGGGGCGUAAAACCGAGAUAGCAGAACUGCAUUAAUUGCAAGCUGACUAGCAGAGCACAUCAACUGCGGCAAGGAGAUUUAGCCAAGUGGGCUGCACAGCCAAUAGGGCGGAUAUUUAAGUUAGUUUUUAGUUAAUUCAAAAUGUGCAUCUUAGGCGCAAGUGCCGUCAGAUAUGUUCGCUGCACAUAUAUAUAUAUAUGUGC